Molecule: non-coding RNA, 693 nt
Organism: Chiloscyllium plagiosum (whitespotted bambooshark)
Lineage: Eukaryota; Metazoa; Chordata; Chondrichthyes; Orectolobiformes; Hemiscylliidae
Source: RefSeq, a predicted model, not a curated record
UUUUGUUUUUUGUUUUUACCUCUGGAAGUUACUCUGAAUACGAAAUAGAUUCAGUGCCAAUGUAUUGACUGUGAUUUGUUUACUUGGCAGUAAAUGUGGCAGGACUUGACAUUUGGAUCGACGUAACCCCUCAAGUUCUGGAAUUUGGAGACUCAUUGAAGGCAAACUGCAGUACAUCAUGUGUGGAUUCAAACCUAUUAAUUGUCUUGGAAUAUAAAUCAGGGCUAAGUCCUCAGAGAAAACGUGAAAGUACAUGGAUAUCAGACUUCUUCCCAAAUGUCACAGCAUGGGAUAUUUCUGUCCCUUGUGUUGUGAGAUGUAAGAAUGAACACAACUCAGCCAAGAAAGUGGUCCCUGUUUACAAUCGAGAGAUAAGCAUUACAGUACUUCCUGAAGUACUGGAGAUUAACAGAACAUAUCGUCUGGAGUGCAUUGGCCCAAGAGUCUAUCCAAACAACAAACUCAUUCUCACAUGGCUGAGAGGGAGUGAGAUUGUCCAGAGAGAUUCCACAGGUGAACUAGGUCUUCCGGAUGAAGAUAAAAGGUUGAGAAAUGUCUUCAAUUUCGUUGCGAGUCGAUCAGAUGAUGGACAGGAGUACACCUGCUUGGCUGAAGUGGACUUGGACUCUAAUACCACAAAGUCAAUCACAAACUCUUCUGUCACACUGCAAACUUACGCUUUCAUUGAUCAGC